AGUUGUUAAUCCUGCUGAUGCGCGCCGCUGUCGUCGGGAUAUUUGUGAGGGGAAGCACCCUUUUCGAGAGAUUUCAGAGAAGAAGUAUGUUCCCUCGGCUUCUUCUUCGGUUGGUUUAUUUUUGGGCACGCCGCCUCCUGGUCUGAGUGGUGUUUCAGUUGGUGCUCUGCCGCAGGCCUCUGUCCUCGCGUGGUACUUCCAUUUCACAUGGCCAUUGCCGGUCUUCCUAAUUCUGCUGUCUCGCUGACAGCUCCUGCGGCCCCUCUCUUUGCUGGUGCAUUGGCCGCUGUGCUAGAUAUUUCGUCUUUGUGCUCUUCUUGCUUGGUGGAUAUUCAUAUGUACAGAUGCUGGCUUCCCAUCUAUUUUGCAAAGGACAAUUUCUUCUAGUUCUAAUGUGCGCACGAGAGGGGGGCGUCAGGGUUCGUUGUCAGCUAGCUGUCUGAAUCUUCGUGCUUCGGAUUGGUCUGAUGAUCUACAGCACGUACGACGGAGGACAACAGAAUUCUACUGAAUUGUGGCGGCGCCGUCGAGAGAUUGAUGAAGGAAAACGUCCUGUGUUGGGUUCUUCAGAUUGUGCCUGAACUAGCGGGAGCCUCUGAAGCAGCGAGAGAGUAACGGAUGGGGAAACUGGCAGAUCCUUUUGUGUGGACGACAACUCGACGGUGGCAACUCGACCAGGUUUGCCGUGAGAAGGCCAGACUAUGCGAGAGAUUUGGCGCGUGUAGUUUAUUUUGUCGCUAAUUACGGUGGAGUGUGGUUAGAUUAUCAGCUUUGUUAGAUGAAUAGGGCAUGGAAGGAGCGGUGGAUAUGAGCUCCUACGGCAUAACUACUAUGCCUUGAGCAACGUCAGAGGAGCCGACUCCCGCUGAGAAUACAUUUUAUUUUCUUUAGCCGAUUAAUUCCAAUAAUUAAUGAGGGCUGAUGCACCCCGGGAGCAGCUGCCAAGAUGGAAGUUUUAGCAAAUAGGACGCCUUCCAUCGAAGGGAAACUACGACCAACUCCGCUCUCGUUGGCUGGCGAUGCAUGACGAGGCCAAUGGACAACUUGGUGCUACACAAAUGAAUCAAGGAGAACAUGCUAACAGACCAGCAACGUGCUAGGAGGCCAACGGGAGCAUUACCUGGUGUUGACCGGCGGGCAAAUGACAUCAUAUAUGUUUUUGUCCAACCAAGGUAACCCUCCAAACAGUGCCCUAAUAGCCAUCUAUUCCUUAAUGUUUUGGCCUGGAAACAAGUUUAGUUGCAACUCUUUUGCUAUCAAGUUUUCCAAAUUUCGUUCACUAGGGUUCCUUUCUUAUUAUCAUCUUCCAGAUAUAUAUUUUUGUAAUUACAUGAAUUCAGUUCUACUUCUAUCGUGUCUCCUUUUCACAUGUUUGCAUCCAGCUGAAUAUCCAUCUACAUUUUUCACAUGUGUAGUGCAGUCUAAAAAUUAUAAGCUAGGAUGUUAUGCCCUACCAUCUGCAAGAACAAUGGAUUGUGUACUGAACAUAAGUUUUUUUGCAAGUUUGCUCUUAGUUAUGUCUUUGGCGGGGCAUACUUGAUCAUAAAUUUUGUACGAAAGGUAAUAGCUAAAAAUAUGUAUGCAGUUGUUACUUAAAUAUCAGAUUGUUCUAUAUUGUUUAGAUUUAAUUGGAGAAUGCAACUUAAUCAAUUAUGUCAUGUAUUGGCAAUAAGGGGUGCCGGUCAACCUACUAGGAGAUGGCAUAUAUGGGCCUUGAGGACAUGGCACCGUUCAGGAGGGCGGCAUUCCGACAACACUCCAGCAUAGACUCAUCGUGAUACAUGGACAUGGGCUGGUAAACAGAGGUAACAGGGAGCCUGAACAUCGCACAUCAAGAAGGAAGCUGAUGAUGAUGAAUACGACCAUCUUGGCAUGGAUUGCUGCUGCUGCCAUGCCCAUGUCCAGCAACAUGUUGUUGUGCCAGUGCUGCAACCUUCUACUCCAAACACGAUCGCAGGCAAUGUGGUCAUGAACUUUUGGGAUACUUAAUGUUCCCUGUAUUUUUCUAGCAAUGUCUUAGGUAGGACGUAGAUGCAAGGGCUCAUAUAAAUAUCAAUGAAUUGAUAUUAGUUACCAUGAUAAUUUGGUUAUAUAUAUGACCAUAUCCGAAUCAUUUUAGGCUUAUAAUGGCAUUUGUUUUAAUGAUUUAUUUAUAGAGUAUUACAAUGGUGACAA
Triticum dicoccoides is the source of this 2175-nucleotide long non-coding RNA. RefSeq lists it as uncharacterized. NCBI's taxonomy places the organism in Eukaryota, Viridiplantae, Streptophyta, Magnoliopsida, Poales, Poaceae. The transcript has 3 exons. The record is from RefSeq and is a predicted model, not a curated record.